GUUGUAGCUCAGUGGUAGAGUACAUGGUUAACAUGCAAGAAGCCUGGGUUCAAUUCCCAGCACAUACA
This 68-nucleotide transfer RNA is filed under the name Urocitellus parryii (Arctic ground squirrel). RNAcentral's name for it is "Spermophilus parryii (Arctic ground squirrel) tRNA". It matches the Rfam family "tRNA". Rfam says of the family: Transfer RNA (tRNA) molecules are approximately 80 nucleotides in length. The record is from Rfam by way of RNAcentral. Lineage: Eukaryota; Metazoa; Chordata; Mammalia; Rodentia; Sciuridae. RNAcentral also lists the same sequence under 2 other names.